ACAAUUCAAUCAGCAUUAAUUUUUGCAAAUUUUACUAUUAAAAGGUAGUCGAAGCAAUAAUGAAUCCAUUGAUGCAUAUUACUCCUGGAUAAUAUUUAUAUAGGGAUUUAAUUUCUGACUUAUACCAAGGUGUGAACCAACCGGCAUUUCUUAUCACGGCGGCUUACGGUAAAAGCAACGACUGCCUGUGUUUUUUCGACAUUUUGUAAUUCAAUCGAUAUUAAUUUGUGCAAAUUUUGCUAUAAUUAGAUAGUCAAAGCCAUAAUGAAUCCAUUGAUGUAUAUUACGCCUGGAUAAAAUUCAUUUAGGAAUUUAAUUUCUGACUUAUACCAAGGUGUGAACCAACCGGCAUUUUUUUACACGGUGGCUUAUGGAGAAAUCAACGACUGCUUGUGUUUUUUCGACUUUUUUUAAUUCCAUCGGUAUUAAUUUGUGCAAAUUUUGCUUGAAAUAGAUAUUCAAAGCCAUAAUGAAUCCAUUAAUGUAUGUUACUCCCAGAUAAUAUUCAUAUAUGGACUCAAUUUCAGACUUAUUACCGGCCUACUUAUUUUAGCUGGUUGAGUGUUGGGUUGAGUGUGUGUCUAGUCGACGAACGGAGCCGAGUCGGGACUGUCGGGAGUGGGGAGCGCUGAGCGCGAGUCUCUGCGUAUGCGUCAUCGCUAGUCGCCGCACACUAGUCUCCGGAGAACUGGACAAAACAGCCUCGAAAAGUGACUUCAUCGGCGAUCCAGUACUUUGCGACUCUAUUGUACUCUAUGGUCUUGACUCUCAGUAUAAAGGGACUCUAGUUUUACUCUACGGCAAAGACAUUGUAUCACGUAGACCGUGCGUUCGGCUCGGUUUAGUACUGGCGGAGCGAGGCAAGCAGAGACAAGAGACCCUCCACUAGUAUCUUGGCCAUUGUGGAAGCUUUUACUUUCGGGACUUCAGCAUUCUACUGUUGACUUACCUACAUGGUUGAUGGUUAACAACGUGUUGGCAGUUUCGUUUUGCAAACAAGUCAAAAAUGGCCGAAGUUUGUGAAACUUGUUUGGCUCAUGACGUCACCCGAAGCUCAUCAUCGACCAUGUAGGUAGGUCAACAGCCGAAAUUAGGGUGAUGACUGUUGCUCCCUAAUAAUUGUCCAUAAGGAACUGUUGAAUCCCCGAAAGUAAAAUCUUCCACCUGUCGCUAGGAGGCCAUGGAGGCCAGUGGAGGGUCUCUUGUCUCUGGAGGCAAGUCUCUCGGAACCCCAUGAUGGGCGGGCGGGGAAGGGGAGAGAGCGUGUGUCCCAAGCAGAGAUGGAAAAUUUCAUGAAAUUUAUUCGAAUGAAAUUUCACGCGAGAAAUUUCAUGAAAUUUCAUGAAAUUUCACGAAAUUUCAUGAAAUAUAUUGAAACUUCUGGGGAUACAUUCAGGAGGCUAAGAAACGCCUAGAAACAGUGAUUCUAAAUUUUGAAAUUUUUUACCCCAAGCCAUAAAACAUUCGCGCGUUGAAAAUGUUUUCGUUUAGUUUAGAGGUUAGGUUGGAGUUUUUCUCUCUAAACUCCCCUUUUUGCCCCCUCUUUGUGUCUGGCACCUUCAGUAGAGUAGCAUAACACCGCAGCAUCAACAGAAAGACCAUCUGAAACGCUUUCAGACCUUCAAAGGUUUAAUAAAUAAUUCUAAAAAAAAAUAAUAAAUUUCAACUUCUGUGAAAUUUAUUCGAGCCUUAUAAAAUUUCAUGAAAUUUCACGUGAAAUUUCAUGAAAUUUCAAAACGUGAAAUUUCACUUUCCAUCUCUGUACCUCUCAUAAGAGGCAAUGGAGAAUUCAUGCCCGCGCUCGGUUUUUCACGAAUAUCUCGUUAAGAGUCCAUUUUUAGACAAAAUUCCUAAGAAGAAGAAUUAUAGAACACAUAAUUUUACACCCGAUUAGCAUUGUUUCAUUUUUCCAAACAAAUUAUUAACCGAGGAAAAAAGCCUUACAAUUCGACGAAAAUUCACUGGAGCCGCUACUGCGCAUGCGCAGAUGUGCGCAACUGGGACACACGAACUCAUCGAUGCGGGUUGAUGCCACCCAAAUGCCACCACUCAUCGCAUGCGAAUUUUUUGAAGUUGUCUCGCCUUCCGGAACACAGGAUGCACUGUCUACGUGAUACAAUGUUUUUUCUCUACGGUCUUCGAAAUCUAACCUAAAACCUAACUGAAAGUCGGACGGUGGAGGAGCAGGAGAGUCGGUGGAUGUCAAUACAUGGUCAAUACGUAUCUCUAUUUUGCUUGUUCAAUCCGGUCCCUUUUGGGUUUUCUUUUAUCUAGUCUCGAAUUUUCAGUGUGUUAUGGCAGUUUCUGCCCAUGUUUUCCAUGUCUCACACGUUAUUGAUUUAAAAUACUUCUUUUAAUUGUUUCUUGUUUUGGAGUGUUGAAUGCUCUUGAUGUUAGGUCAUUGUUUAAAAUGGCAAGGCAGGCUUUCGGGUGACUGUUCAUUUAUUUUAAAUUUAACCUUCAAUAAUGAGUGAUAAUCGAAAAAUUGUG
RNAcentral lists this long non-coding RNA (2490 nucleotides) under Bemisia tabaci. RNAcentral describes it as "lncRNA ENSASIAIIG003509". The record is from RNAcentral. Lineage: Eukaryota; Metazoa; Arthropoda; Insecta; Hemiptera; Aleyrodidae.